AACGAACGCUGGCGGCAUGCCUAACACAUGCAAGUCGAACGAGACCUUCGGGUCUAGUGGCGCACGGGUGCGUAACGCGUGGGAACCUGCCCUUAGGUUCGGAAUAACUCCCCGAAAGGGGUGCUAAUACCGGAUAAUGUCUUCGGACCAAAGAUUUAUCGCCUUUGGAUGGGCCCGCGUUGGAUUAGCUAGUUGGUAGGGUAAAAGCCUACCAAGGCGACGAUCCAUAGCUGGUCUGAGAGGAUGAUCAGCCACACUGGGGCUGAGACACGGCCCAGACUCCUACGGGAGGCAGCAGUGGGGAAUAGUGGACAAUGGGCGAAAGCCUGAUCCAGCAAUGCCGCGUGAGUGAUGAAGGCCUUAGGGUUGUAAAGCUCUUUUACCCGGGAUGAUAAUGACAGUACCGGGAGAAUAAGCUCCGGCUAACUCCGUG
Molecule: ribosomal RNA, 433 nt
Filed under: uncultured bacterium
Lineage: Bacteria
Description: partial 16S ribosomal RNA
Rfam family: Bacterial small subunit ribosomal RNA
Source: RNAcentral